GCCCAUGCUGGCAUCACGCACUGUGUGCUUGCGUGCAUGCGCGAAUAGGCACAAAAUGUGCCCACUGUGCGCACAUCCCAUCCGCAUGGGUCGCGGGGCCUGUCCUACGCAUGCGCCUUGUCAUACGCAGGUAGGCCAGUCCGCUAACAUCACAUCGCACAUGAACAGAGCUUGGCGCUACGCAUUGUGCAUGCGUCAUCAGCACAGUAGGCCUAAGUGGAUAGGCUUGUGCGCCUGGGGGCUACGCGUUACAGGCCUUGCGCAUACACAGGCU
RNAcentral lists this long non-coding RNA (274 nucleotides) under Carica papaya (papaya). RNAcentral's name for it is "long non-coding RNA (CPAP_LNC002725)". Lineage: Eukaryota; Viridiplantae; Streptophyta; Magnoliopsida; Brassicales; Caricaceae. The record is from RNAcentral.